Molecule: ribosomal RNA, 494 nt
Filed under: uncultured bacterium
Lineage: Bacteria
Description: partial 16S ribosomal RNA
Rfam family: Bacterial small subunit ribosomal RNA
Source: RNAcentral
GACGAACGCUGGCGGCGUGCUUAACACAUGCAAGUCGAACGGAAAGGCCUGCUUUCCCUUGUGGAUUGCGGGUACUCGAGUGGCGAACGGGUGAGUAACACGUGAGUGAUCUGCCCCCAACUUGGGUAUAAGCCUGGGAAACUGGGUCUAAUUCCCGAUAGGACUGCAGGGUGGUGCCUGUGGUGGAAAACGAUUUUCUAGUGGUUGGGGAUGAGCUCGCGGCCUAUCAGCUUGUUGGUGGGGUAAUGGCCUACCAAGGCGGCGACGGGUAGCCGGCCUGAGGGGGUGGACGGCCACAUUGGGACUGAGAUACGGCCCAGACUCCUACGGGAGGCAGCAGUGGGGAAUAAUGCACAAUGGGCGGAAGCCUGAUGCAGCGACGCCGCGUGGGGGAUGACGGCCUUCGGGUUGUAAACUCCUUUCGACCGCGAGGAAGCCACCUGGUUGGAAGGGUGGUGACGGUAGUGGUAGAAGAAGCACCGGCUAACUACGUG